AGUGAACGCUGGCGGUAGGCCUAACACAUGCAAGUCGAACGGCAGCACAGUAAGAGCUUGCUCUUACGGGUGGCGAGUGGCGGACGGGUGAGGAAUACAUCGGAAUCUACUUUUUCGUGGGGGCUAACGUAGGGAAACUUACGCUAAUACCGCAUACGACCUCCGGGUGAAAGCCGGGGAUCUUCGGACCUUGCGCGAUUGAAUGAGCCGAUGUCGGAUUAGCUAGUUGGCGGGGUAAAGGCCCACCAAGGCGACGAGCCGCAGCUGGUCUGAGAGGAUGAUCAGCCACACCGGAACCGAGACACGGUCCAGACUCCUACGGGAGGCAGCAGUGGGGAAUAGUGGACAAUGGGCGCAAGCCUGAUCCAGCCAUACCGCGUGGGUGAAGAAGGCCUUCGGGUUGUAAAGCCCUUUUGUUGGGAAAGAAAAGCAGCAGGUUAAGACCCCGCUGUUCUGACGGUACCCAAAGAAUAAGCACCGGCUAACUUCGUG
This 492-nucleotide ribosomal RNA is filed under the name uncultured bacterium. RNAcentral's name for it is "partial 16S ribosomal RNA". It matches the Rfam family "Bacterial small subunit ribosomal RNA", at positions 29 to 507 of the family's 1533-position model. The record is from RNAcentral.